This is a long non-coding RNA of Impatiens glandulifera, 705 nucleotides long. RefSeq lists it as uncharacterized. The transcript is spliced from 2 exons. The record is from RefSeq and is a predicted model, not a curated record. NCBI's taxonomy places the organism in Eukaryota, Viridiplantae, Streptophyta, Magnoliopsida, Ericales, Balsaminaceae.
AUGGAGAAUAAGAAUCAAAUUCAGGGGGUUUUCCUUUCAGAUUUAGAUUUAGAUUCAGAUGAUGAAGAUGGAGAGGAAAUUGGGAUGCGAAACCAACGCUUGAGAGGUGUUUUUAAUUCCAGGGUUUUCUAGCACAUUUGUAAGUUGUGUUGGUCAGAAGAUGGGUGAAUGGAAGAGACAAAUAACAUAAAUUAAAGUUAAAAAAAUUAUUACCAAGAUAUUUGUUAUAGCAGCCAAGCAUUUACCUGUCCCCUGUACUUUGUAUCCCUCUGAAUCUCCAAAUCUUUGACUAACUUUAACCAUACAUCCUUCACUUUACCAGGCUCUAGUUCAAACAAUGAAAUUUGAGCACAGCCUAUGAGCUCACCAGCUUGAACGCCUUCAUCAUCAAAAACUCUCACUGUCAAGUGUUGUGUUAAUGAGUCCUCCACUAUAAACUCAAAGUGCUCAUUCCAGAUUGGAUUCAAUUGGUUGUUCUGAAGAAAUAAAUCAUUUUUUACAUUUCUUCAUACACUUGAAACUUGAAAAAUUAUAAGACAUAGGAUUUGGAUUGUCUUACAAUUGUCUUGCUAGUUUGCAUUUUCUGUCGCAAAGGACGGAUAAAUAAGGUAGCAUAAGGAUCAGACUUUCCUACUAUAUCUUUAUUUGUCAAUUCCUUUGCCUGUAUAAGCUUUACUUCUAAUGUUCCACAAGGUUUUAGCUCCA